GAUGAAGAACGUAGCGAAAUGCGAUAAGUAGUGUGAAUUGCAGAAUUCCGUGAAUCAUCGAAUCUUUGAACGCACAUUGCGCCCUGUGGUAUUCCGCAGGGCAUGCCUGUUCGAGCGUCAUUUCAACCCUCAAGCCCCGCUUGGUGUUGGGCCCCGCCCGCCGUGGCCGGCCCUAAAGACAGUGGCGGCGCCGCCUGGCCCUCAGCGUAGUACAGCUCUCGCUCCAGGGUCCGGCGGCCGCCUGCCAGAACCCCCCAACUCUGUGGUUGACCUCGGAUCAGGUAGGGAUACCCGCUGAACUUAAGCAUAUCAAUAAGCGGAGGA
This 324-nucleotide unclassified non-coding RNA is filed under the name soil metagenome. Its description in RNAcentral is "partial contains 5.8S ribosomal RNA, internal transcribed spacer 2, and large subunit ribosomal RNA". The stretch from base 1 to 120 matches the Rfam family "5.8S ribosomal RNA", at positions 35 to 154 of the family's 154-position model. The record is from RNAcentral.